UGGGGAAUUUUGGACAAUGGGCGAAAGCCUGAUCCAGCAAUGCCGCGUGUGUGAAGAAGGCCUUCGGGUUGUAAAGCACUUUUGUCCGGAAAGAAAUCCUUGGCUCUAAUACAGUCGGGGGGAUGACGGUACCGGAAGAAUAAGCACCGGCUAACUACGUGCCAGCAGCCGCGGUAAUACGUAGGGUGCAAGCGUUAAUCGGAAUUACUGGGCGUAAAGCGUGCGCAGGCGGUUUGCUAAGACCGAUGUGAAAUCCCCGGGCUCAACCUGGGAACUGCAUUGGUGACUGGCAGGCUAGAGUAUGGCAGAGGGGGGUAGAAUUCCACGUGUAGCAGUGAAAUGCGUAGAGAUGUGGAGGAAUACCGAUGGCGAAGGCAGCCCCCUGGGCCAAUACUGACGCUCAUGCACGAAAGCGUGGGGAGCAAAACAGGAUUAGAUACCCUGGUAGUCCACGCCCUAAACGAUGUCAACUAGUUGUUGGGGAUUCAUUUCCUUAGUAACGUAGCUAACGCGUGAAGUUGACCGCCUGGGGAGUACGGUCGCAAGAUUAAAACUUAAAUGAAUUGACGGGGUCAUAGCUGUUUCCU
RNAcentral lists this ribosomal RNA (587 nucleotides) under uncultured bacterium. RNAcentral describes it as "partial 16S ribosomal RNA". It matches the Rfam family "Bacterial small subunit ribosomal RNA", at positions 355 to 1375 of the family's 1533-position model. The record is from RNAcentral.